This 388-nucleotide ribosomal RNA is filed under the name uncultured bacterium. RNAcentral's name for it is "bacterial SSU rRNA". It matches the Rfam family "Bacterial small subunit ribosomal RNA", at positions 30 to 418 of the family's 1533-position model. The record is from RNAcentral.
AUUGAACGCUGGCGGCAUGCCUUACACAUGCAAGUCGAACGGCAGCACGGGAGCAAUCCUGGUGGCGAGUGGCGAACGGGUGAGUAAUAUAUCGGAACGUGCCCAGUCGUGGGGAUAACGUAGCGAAAGCUACGCUAAUACCGCAUACGAUCUAUGGAUGAAAGCGGGGGAUCGCAAGACCUCGCGCGAUUGGAGCGGCCGAUAUCAGAUUAGGUAGUUGGUGAGGUAAAGGCUCACCAAGCCGACGAUCUGUAGCUGGUCUGAGAGGACGACCAGCCACACUGGGACUGAGACACGGCCCAGACUCCUACGGAGGCAGCAGUGGGGAAUUUUUGGGACAAUGGGCGCAAGCCUGAUCCAGCAAUGCCGCGUGCAGGAUGAAGGCCUU